AUAGCCGACGUUGACAGACGAUUGCGCCGACGUCGGAGCAAUUGGAGACCAAGCAGAAUACACAAACAUUCUCUGGUACAAGUGCACUGGCAAUACGGCUAUCGACGUUGGCGCCGACUGAGAAUGUCGACGUAACCACUUGUCAAAGUUUGCACUUUAUAGAAAAAUUCUCCAAGUUAAAAUUGGAGCUCGAUACGAACGGACGUGUGUAGACGGUAAUUUGCGCGAUACAAUAUAAUUUUCUUUCCAACUCAAGUGUAUAUGUAUUAACCAAAUUUAAAUUUGAUGAAAAGCCAAAAACGUUUAAAGAGUAAAAAAAAAAUACUAGCUACCGCAAAAGUAAGUUUGCCACUACGCAAUAAUUGAUAAAAAUAUCACUUUGAAAUACGUCAAAAAUUUGACAAUAAUAAAGUUCUCAAACUAAGUUGAAAUAGAAAAUUUCACACCAGAAAGAAUUUUUGUAUAAAUUUGUGCAGAGAUUGCAUUAAUUGAACAUAAAAAAUUAAAAAAAAAUUGUAACAAAAUUUAAGUGUAAAAGCUACAAAAUUGCCAAAUGAAGUGAGUAAUAUAAGCGUGUUUGUGAAAAGUGAGAAAAUUUAGUAAAUGAAAAGUGCAAAAACACAAUUGUUGAAGUUCAAAACAUUGGGGAUACACGUAAACAGCAUCGAACAACAACAAACAGUAUUGACUGCAUUACAAGCAACAAUACGCAAUAGAAGUACGAAAUACGCGCGGCCCAAAAUAGCGUUGGUGGCUAAGAGGAAAAGGCAGCGACAGCAAUUAGCAGUUGUGCAAUUUUCAUGCUUGUUAUAAAAACAACAAGGCUCUUUGGGAAACGACAAUCUUCGGAGUGGUUCGGUGUCUAAAUUGAAAGUCAUAAGUGAUUCGUGAAUAGUGUCCAAAGCAAGUGAAUGUGUA
Long non-coding RNA from Bactrocera tryoni, 918 nucleotides. RefSeq lists it as uncharacterized. The transcript is spliced from 3 exons. NCBI's taxonomy places the organism in Eukaryota, Metazoa, Arthropoda, Insecta, Diptera, Tephritidae. The record is from RefSeq and is a predicted model, not a curated record.